RNAcentral lists this long non-coding RNA (1122 nucleotides) under Felis catus (domestic cat). RNAcentral's name for it is "lncRNA (ENSFCAG00000051256.1)". The record is from RNAcentral. Lineage: Eukaryota; Metazoa; Chordata; Mammalia; Carnivora; Felidae.
UGGUUUGGGCUCUUAAAAGAAGUUGGAAGCAGAAGAACUUUACUCAGACCCCUGGGAAGAGCUGUGCUCAGAAGACAGUGACUAAGAACACGCACAAUGCAGCACACGUAUCUACGGCGUGGUGAUGUACGUCUUUCCACUCAAGAAAGCCAAGGGGCGUUUCCAGAAGAGGGAGCAACCCGUACAGAGGCUUGGAUUCAGGAACGUCGAGCGAGGCCAGGGGUCUGGUGAGGUCCCGCGUCUGUGGGAUAUACCACGUCUUUAACAUGCAUGCAUUUGAAAGAAGCAGAUGGAAGCUGCUUCUCUGAGCCUAAUUGGACAGAAUUGUGGUGGCGAGGUGAGGCCUGGGCCUAAUAAGUAAGGGGGGCUAGGGCACGGAGGGGAGGGGCGUUCUAGAAGGACACUGGGUCUUUUUGAUGAAAACGUGGGCCUCCCCACAGUCAUCCCUCUUCAGCUGCUGCCUCGCAGAUGGACCCUUUAAUUGAAUUUUCCUACAGGCCUGGGGGAGGGAGCCAUUUCAGGCCCCGAGAGCAACUGAAGUGAAUCGAAUGACAUCGGUCUCUUUUCACCGGGAGCUGAAGGGGCAGGUGGGGUGGUUGUCGGUCUCGGUGUUUCCAUCCUCCGCUCUUCAGUUCCCGUGAUUGUCUUUUCCUUUUGAACAUCCCCACCCAGGGUGACCUCACCAGGUUCUGGCCUUCGCCACCAGGGUAAGCGUGGGGGAAGAGGAGGGAGGAAGGUAGGAGUCUGUUGGAUUCCACACGAUCCGGCAACACUUGCCAGGCGAAUAGCCCGGGCCGGAGUUGUGCUCUCAAGAAGACAGUGACAGGUUCAGCGAACGCCUUCGGAGAAAGUAGCCUCAAGCGGGGAGACUGCUCUUCAAAGAAGAGCGGAGAAAGUAAACCAAAACAAAGGACAAAUACACAAAGCCACUUGGAGGAUAAUGAAAGCCAGCGUGAAGCCCUCAGCUGAAUAGGUGAGCGAUUAAAACGGAUAGGCUGGGGCCACCAGAACGUGUCCCCGGAGGUCCUCGGAGGCCUUGUGGGACAUUGAAUUUGGACAAUGGCCUGUAGAUUGGCUGGGCCCAAAAAUAAAAUGCGUGUGUGGAAGGAAGGCUCGGGAGAA